Long non-coding RNA from Chelonia mydas (Green sea turtle), 1293 nucleotides. RefSeq lists it as uncharacterized. The transcript is spliced from 3 exons. The record is from RefSeq and is a predicted model, not a curated record. Lineage: Eukaryota; Metazoa; Chordata; Testudines; Cheloniidae.
AUGCGCACCCUCACUUUCCUAGAGACGCGCGCACACACCUGAUCGUCACAACCGAGCAUGCGUUACUGCGCGCGACGCCCUUCCUCUCCUCCGCCACCACGCGCUCCCUGACCGGCCACCCGACGCGCGCGCCUCCUCCCGCCUCCGGCGCGCAGGCGCCGUUGCCUCACGCGCGCCGAAGGGAAGGGGUUUCCUCCCCCCCCCCGCACAAAAUGGCGGCCAAGGGCUUUGGUGGCGCAGUUUAAAAAAAACGGGGGGGGGGGGGGGGGGGGGGGCUGGCCGAGCCCCCAAAGCGUCGAGGACGGGGCAGAUGUGGGCGGAAAGGCCCAGAGACGUCCAACUCCAUUCGAUCCAGCCCAGCCAGGGGAGAAAUUCACAAAGAGAAUUUGCCCAGCAAGUCAGUGGCAAAGAGAGACCCCAGGUGUCCUGACUCCAACAGACUCGCUCAUUUCUCAGGUCCCAGCCCUGGUCUUGGGAGGCGAUUCCUGACUCCGAUGCAUCCCACAAGAGGUUUUCCUGAUAUUCCGUCCAAAUCCCAGCACCCGGAAUUCGAUGCAGAUGGCGACCUGUGCCGGGGUGCUCCUGGGCCUUUGUCGCCCCCUGCUGGAGAACCCCUGGUCUUACUACACCCUGCCCCACACAAGCAGCAUCAGAGGAAGGCCCUCUAGGUCUGCCUAGGGAGGCUGCACAGGGAUGCAGCCAAUGUGAGCCUAGCAGGCUCAGAUAAACGGUGCUUAGCAGGUCCUGUCUUGGCCCAGCCUGGCCCUGCCUCGGGGCUGGCGAGGGUGAGGGCAGACAGACCGUUUUGUUGGACUCUGUGCUACCCUGGAAGGGGUUCAUUUUGACUGCUGAGAGUGACCCAGUCAGAGGGCUGCCUCACUGAAGACCUGCCAGGUGAUGUCAGCAACCCACCCUGGGGGUCCCAGGAAUGGGAAAGGCCUGCGGUACCGCACGUGGCAGCAGGAGGUGCUCCAGAGGCGAGUGCCCCUGUUACCCUACCCUAAAGAACUCCUCCCAUGACUGGAUUUCACCACCCUUGAGAGCUGCAGAUGGUUCUGUUUCCCCUCUCACUAUUUCUACUCUCUAGGGGUUUAAUAGGUAAACAAGCCCCGAGCUUGAAGCUCAGAGAGAGGAGACACGCUAAACAUGAGUCCUGACUGGCUCCCUUCGGAGCAGUUCCAGAGCAUCGGCCCUGUGACUCCAUGACAGACCCCCAUGGCUGUCCCGGGGCAGCUGACUUGGGCUCACAGCACUCAGGCUGAGGUGCUAUAACAUUACAAUGUAGAUGUGCAA